AUUGAACGCUGGCGGCAGGCUUAAUACAUGCAAGUCGAACGAGUGGCGGACGGGUGAGUAAUGCUUGGGAAUCUAGCUUAUGGAGGGGGAUAACUAAGGGAAACUGUAGAUAAUACCGCGUACCAUAGGUUGAGCCCACGUGGGAUUAGGUAGUUGGUGAGGUAAAGGCUGACCAAGCCGACGAUCUCCAGCUGAGCUGAGAGGAUGACCAGCCACACGGGGACUGAGACACGGUCCAGACUCCUACGGGAGGCAGCAGUAGGGAAUAUUGCGCAAUGGGUGCAACCUGACGCAGCCAUGCCGCGUGAAUGAAGAAGGCCUUCGGAUUGUAAAAUUCUUUCGUUAGAGAGGCGUUAACUACAGAGGAAGCCCCGGCUAACUCCGUGCCAGCAGCCGCGGUAAUAC
RNAcentral lists this ribosomal RNA (405 nucleotides) under uncultured bacterium. Its description in RNAcentral is "partial 16S ribosomal RNA". It matches the Rfam family "Bacterial small subunit ribosomal RNA", at positions 30 to 526 of the family's 1533-position model. The record is from RNAcentral.